Molecule: ribosomal RNA, 131 nt
Filed under: Ice core clone 143-13
Lineage: Eukaryota
Description: partial 18S ribosomal RNA
Rfam family: Eukaryotic small subunit ribosomal RNA
Source: RNAcentral
UGGAGUGAUUUGUCUGCUUAAUUGCGAUAACGAACGAGACCUUAACCUACUAAAUAGUGCGAUUAGCUUUUGCUGAUUUUGACACUUCUUAGAGGGACUAUCGAUUUCAAGUCGAUGGAAGUUUGAGGCAA